AACUCUGAACAGAAAUUCUGUUAAACUUCUUUAAAUUAAUCAUUUAAGUCUGUAAAAUGUGAAUAUGUUUUGUUCUGGAAUCAAAACUGACAUUGUUAAAUGUUUUAUCCAAAACCCAAAGACAUUCCCACAAAAGUUAAAAUUGAGUAGUUUAAAUAUUUUCUCAUUUCCAAAGAGUAAGUUGAUUAAAGAAAACAUUUUCUGAUGAUGAACUGAGUCGGGUCACGUGCUGUUUGAGGUCACGCCUCUUUACCUUUGACCUUUACUUGCCUGGAUCCAUCCCGCUGAGGAUUCGAAGGGCCGUUACACCAACACUGGAGUUACUAUGGCCAUCGUUUUCACUGUGAUCUGAAGGGGGCGCCGUUUCCACCGUGGCGUCAGGGGGAUUAUCACCUGAAUGACCGACAGGGGGCGUAAACGGAGGGUGAGGACGGCGACGGCUUUCCAAACUCAAAGAGGACGUGUGCUGAUGGACGGAUCCGUGCCACAUGCUGCCAGCUGGUGAAACUGCACUCGGACUGUGAAUCUUGAAUCUAUGAAUAUUUUAAAUGUCUGAAGGUUGUUCACAUGUUCACGAGGAUAUAAGAAGAGUUUGUUCAUCACAUAUCAUCGUCAAAACAAAAGUUCUCACGCUUGGACUCUCCAGCAUGUUUGGCUUUUGUUUUGACGGCUCCAAUCAGAAGCAGGAAUAAUAACUAAUCAAUAAUCUGUUCUGUUUGGCCACUGAAGUUCUAUUUUUUAACAUAUCACACUCUAUGUUUUGUAAGAACAAUAAUGACUUCAUUAUUUUGUAGACUUCAACAUUUUUGCUAAUGUUUCCAUUUUACUUUUCAACUUUGCCUUGAUACGAGUGGAGCGACUCCAGAAAAAAGAAAGAAAAGAAAAGAA
Molecule: long non-coding RNA, 888 nt
Organism: Thalassophryne amazonica
Lineage: Eukaryota; Metazoa; Chordata; Actinopteri; Batrachoidiformes; Batrachoididae
Exons: 2
Source: RefSeq, a predicted model, not a curated record